GUAGGUGGCAAGCGUUGUCCGGAAUUAUUGGGCGUAAAGCGCGCGCAGGCGGUUCUUUAAGUCUGAUGUGAAAGCCCACGGCUCAACCGUGGAGGGUCAUUGGAAACUGGAGAACUUGAGUGCAGAAGAGGAAAGCGGAAUUCCACGUGUAGCGGUGAAAUGCGUAGAGAUGUGGAGGAACACCAGUGGCGAAGGCGGCUUUCUGGUCUGUAACUGACGCUGAGGCGCGAAAGCGUGGGGGAGCAAACGGGAUUAGAUACCCUGGUAGUCCACGCCGUAAACGAUGAGUGCUAAGUGUUAGGGGGUUUCCGCCCCCCUUAGUGCUGCAGCUAACGCAUUAAGCACUCCGCCUGGGAGUACGGCCGCAAGGCUG
RNAcentral lists this ribosomal RNA (373 nucleotides) under uncultured organism. RNAcentral describes it as "partial 16S ribosomal RNA". It matches the Rfam family "Bacterial small subunit ribosomal RNA", at positions 527 to 896 of the family's 1533-position model. The record is from RNAcentral.